UUACGGCUCAGUAACACGUAGCUAACCUGCCCUUUGGUCAAGGAUAACCUCGGGAAACUGAGGCUAAUACUUGAUAGAGAAUAUUUUCUGGAAAGAAAUAUUUUUUAAACUCGCGCCAAAGGAUGGGGCUGCGGCUGAUUAGGUAGUUGUUGGGGUAAAUGCCUAACAAGCCAAUGAUCAGUAAGGGCUCUUAGCGGAGAGGCCCUGAGAAGGAAUCUGAGACACUAUUCCUAGCCUUACGGGGUGCAGCAGUCGGGUAUAUUUUGCAAUGCGCGCAAGCGUGACAAAGCAAGCCAGAGUGUUUUUCUUAUUAGAAAAACUUUUGUCAGCUGCAAAAAGGCUGAUGAAUAAGGACUGGGCAAGACCGGUGCCAGCCGCCGCGGUAAUCCCGGCGGUCCAAGUCGCAGCCACAAUUAUUGGGUCUAAAACAUCCGUAGCUUGUUUUAUAAGUCUCUUGUGAAAUCUUACAUCUUAAGUGUAAGGCGCGCAAGAGAUACUGUAAUUCUAGAGACCGGAAGACGCAGUGGGUACGAUCAAAGUAGUGGUAAAAUACGUUAAUCUUGAUUGGACCAACAAUGGCGAAGGCACGCUGCGAGGACGGAUCUGACAGUGAGGGAUGAAGGCCAGGGGCGCAAAAUGGAUUAGAUACCCAUGUAGUCCUGGCAGUAAACACUGCACACUAAACAUUAGUACCUCCUCGAGAGGUAUUGGUGCUGUAGAGAAGUCGAAGAGUGUGCUACCUGGGAAGUAUAGCCGCAAGGCCGAAACUUAAAGGAAUUGGCGGGGGAGCACAA
Molecule: ribosomal RNA, 794 nt
Filed under: uncultured euryarchaeote
Lineage: Archaea; Methanobacteriati; Methanobacteriota
Description: bacterial SSU rRNA
Rfam family: Archaeal small subunit ribosomal RNA
Source: RNAcentral